AUUGAACGCUGGCGGCAGGCCUAACACAUGCAAGUCGAGCGGAUGAAGGGAGCUUGCUCCUGGAUUCAGCGGCGGACGGGUGUGUAAUGCCUAGGAAUCUGCCUGGCAGUGGGGGAUAACGUCCGGAAACGGGCGCUAAUACCGCAUACGUCCUGAGGGAGAAAGUGGGGGAUCUUCGGACCUCACGCUAUCAGAUGAGCCUAGGUCGGAUUAGCUAGUUGGUGGGGUAAAGGCCUACCAAGGCGACGAUCCGUAACUGGUCUGAGAGGAUGAUCAGUCACCCUGGAACUGAGACACGGUCCAGACUCCUACGGGAGGCAGCAGUGGGGAAUAUUGGACAAUGGGCGAAAGCCUGAUCCAACCAUGCCGCGUGUGUGAAGAAGGUCUUCGGAUUGUAAAGCACUUGGAGGUGGGAGAAAGGGCAGUAAGUUAAUACCUUGCUGUAUUGACGUUACCAACAGAAUAAGCACCGGCUAACUUCGUG
Molecule: ribosomal RNA, 484 nt
Filed under: uncultured bacterium
Lineage: Bacteria
Description: partial 16S ribosomal RNA
Rfam family: Bacterial small subunit ribosomal RNA
Source: RNAcentral